RNAcentral lists this ribosomal RNA (478 nucleotides) under uncultured bacterium. Its description in RNAcentral is "partial 16S ribosomal RNA". It matches the Rfam family "Bacterial small subunit ribosomal RNA", at positions 29 to 507 of the family's 1533-position model. The record is from RNAcentral.
AUGCACGCUGGCGGCGUGCUUAACCCCUGCCAGUCGAACGAAGCACUUUAACCUGAUUCUUCGGAUGAAGGUUUUUGUGACUGAGUGGCGGACGGGUGAGUAACGCGUGGGUAACCUGCCUCAUACAGGGGGAUAACAGUUAGAAAUGACUGCUAAUACCGCAUAAGACCACAGAGCCGCAUGGCUCGGUGGGAAAAACUCCGGUGGUAUGAGAUGGACCCGCGUCUGAUUAGGUAGUUGGUGGGGUAACGGCCUACCAAGCCAACGAUCAGUAGCCGACCUGAGAGGGUGACCGGCCACAUUGGGACUGAGACACGGCCCAAACUCCUACGGGAGGCAGCAGUGGGGAAUAUUGCACAAUGGGGGAAACCCUGAUGCAGCGACGCCGCGUGAGCGAAGAAGUAUUUCGGUAUGUAAAGCUCUAUCAGCAGGGAAGAAAAUGACGGUACCUGACGAAGAAGCACCGGCUAAAUACGUG